This is a long non-coding RNA of Rattus norvegicus (Norway rat), 766 nucleotides long. NCBI's taxonomy places the organism in Eukaryota, Metazoa, Chordata, Mammalia, Rodentia, Muridae. The record is from Ensembl.
CAACCAGUCCCACAAGGCUUUGCGUUCAUGCGAGUAGAGGAUUACUCUAAUGUGAAAAUCAUAGGGAUGUGUAGAAGGAUGCGCAAGUAGAGAACGGAAAAGAUUUCUAUCUCAGGAAUGUCUUUUGGCAGUAUUUAGGAGGAGGAGUGGGAAGCAGGCCAAACUGAGGAAAGCCAUGCUACUGCUCUAUGCCAGGGAACGGUGAUGGAGACAUACGGCGGAAGUACUGAGACUAUGAGAUGGACCUCGGUGAGAUUCCCCCCUUCCACCCUAGCCUCUCUAUUCAUGACUUCCAUUGAUGACUUCCAUGCUGGCCUGAAUAUGGAGCUCACUGGAUGGUGAAGCCUUCGGUUUUGAGCUAGAGCUUCAGGAUAGAGACACUAAGGCCUCUUCGGUGUGUGAAACGUCUACGUGCACACAAUCAGCAUUAGAGAGGAAAAAAUAUCCUUGCCUGAAGUAUGCAUUUUCUUCUAUUUCUAACACAUGCAAACCCAAUGCAGGUGCUGGCAAGCUGUUUGCCGGGGGCUCUGACAAUGAUGUAAGGAAGACCAGGGCCAACCGACCACCAUCUCCAAAGAGCGGUGCGGACCAUGUGUGGUGUGAACACUGCCUGUUUGUCCUUGCUGCAGUCCCAGUUAGCUGUGUGCUAACUGCACGAAUAAAGAACACUUCUGUGGAGCAACCUAACAUGUCUGUUUUCCAGAUUUCUGAAGAAAAAAAAAGCUUGAGACAUUCUAAUCUUAGCCAACAUUCUCGCUCAGCAUUG